RNAcentral lists this ribosomal RNA (289 nucleotides) under uncultured bacterium. Its description in RNAcentral is "partial 16S ribosomal RNA". It matches the Rfam family "Bacterial small subunit ribosomal RNA", at positions 30 to 314 of the family's 1533-position model. The record is from RNAcentral.
AUUGAACGCUGGCGGCAUGCUUUACACAUGCAAGUCGAACGGCAGCACGGGGGGCAACCCUGGUGGCGAGUGGCGAACGGGUGAGUAACACAUCGGAACGUGCCCAGUUGUGGGGGAUAACCUAUCGAAAGGUAGGCUAAUACCGCAUGAGCUCGGCAAGAGGAAAGCGGGGGGACUCAGCGAUGGGCCUCGCGCGACUGGAGCGGCCGAUGUCCGAUUAGCAGUUGGUGGGGUAAAGGCUUACCAAGCGACGAUCGGUAGCUGGUCUGAGAGGAUGAUCAGCCACACU